This 394-nucleotide ribosomal RNA is filed under the name uncultured bacterium. RNAcentral describes it as "bacterial SSU rRNA". It matches the Rfam family "Bacterial small subunit ribosomal RNA", at positions 30 to 428 of the family's 1533-position model. The record is from RNAcentral.
AUUGAACGCUGGCGGCAUGCCUUACACAUGCAAGUCGAACGGCAGCACGGGAGCAAUCCUGGUGGCGAGUGGCGAACGGGUGAGUAAUAUAUCGGAACGUGCCCAGUCGUGGGGAUAACGUAGCGAAAGCUACGCUAAUACCGCAUACGAUCUAUGGAUGAAAGCGGGGGAUCGCAAGACCUCGCGCGAUUGGAGCGGCCGAUAUCAGAUUAGGUAGUUGGUGAGGUAAAGGCUCGCCAAGCCGACGAUCUGUAGCUGGUCUGAGAGGACGACCAGCCACACUGGGACUGAGACACGGCCCAGACUCCUACGGGAGGCAGCAGUGGGGAAUUUUGGACAAUGGGCGCAAGCCUGAUCCAGCAAUGCCGCGUGCAGGAUGAAGGCCUGGUUGUAA